RNAcentral lists this ribosomal RNA (497 nucleotides) under uncultured bacterium. RNAcentral's name for it is "partial 16S ribosomal RNA". It matches the Rfam family "Bacterial small subunit ribosomal RNA", at positions 28 to 507 of the family's 1533-position model. The record is from RNAcentral.
GAUGAACGCUGGCGGCGUGCCUAAUACAUGCAAGUCGAGCGAACAGACGAGGAGCUUGCUCCUCUGACGUUAGCGGCGGACGGGUGAGUAACACGUGGAUAACCUACCUAUAAGACUGGGAUAACUUCGGGAAACCGGAGCUAAUACCGGAUAAUAUAUUGAACCGCAUGGUUCAAUAGUGAAAGACGGUUUUGCUGUCACUUAUAGAUGGAUCCGCUCCGCAUUGGCUAGUUGGUAAGGUAACGGCUUACCAAGGCGACGAUGCGUAGCCGACCUGAGAGGGUGAUCGGCCACGCUGGAACUGAGACACGGUCCAGACUCCUACGGGAGGCAGCAGUAGGGAAUCUUCCGCAAUGGGCGAAAGCCUGACGGAGCAACGCCGCGUGAGUGAUGAAGGUCUUCGGAUCGUAAAACUCUGUUAUUAGGGAAGAACAAAUGUGUAAGUAACUAUGCACGUCUUGACGGUACCUAAUCAGAAAGCCACGGCUAAAUACGUG